AUAAAAGGCAAGAUGGCUACUCUUAGCGUAAUUACGCUAAGAGAGGAAAGUCCGGGCUCCGGCAAGGCAACGUAUCUCGAUAAUUUCGAGACAUCCGCCUUAGGGUGGAUAGGAUAAGAGCCACAGAGACGAGUCUCCGUGUUUUUACGCGGAGGGUGAAACGCGGCAAUCUCUACGUGGAGCAAGGUCAUAAAGGAGGCGAGUCCGCCACAAACAUUGGCGAGACAGGAACCAGCCUGGUUCGUUUGAGUCUCGGGUCGACUGCUUAAGAUCCUGUAGCAAUACGGGGUUAAAGAUGAAUGGUCAUCAUACCUGCCUGGCGACAGACAGGAACAAAACCCGGCUUACCUUAAAUAUCU
Molecule: RNase P RNA, 359 nt
Filed under: Candidatus Omnitrophota bacterium
Lineage: Bacteria; Pseudomonadati; Candidatus Omnitrophota
Description: Candidatus Omnitrophica bacterium RNase P RNA component class A
Rfam family: Bacterial RNase P class A
About the family: Ribonuclease P (RNase P) is a ubiquitous endoribonuclease, found in archaea, bacteria and eukarya as well as chloroplasts and mitochondria. Its best characterised activity is the generation of mature 5'-ends of tRNAs by cleaving the 5'-leader elements of precursor-tRNAs. Cellular RNase Ps are ribonucleoproteins.
Source: RNAcentral